UUGCUCACUUCGACAGCAAAUAUACUAAAAUUGGAAUGAUGCAGACAAGAUUAGGAUGACCCCUGUGCAAGAAUAACAUAGGUCAUUCUUGAAGGAUGGUUGCAGGAAUUC
This is a small nuclear RNA of Suncus etruscus (white-toothed pygmy shrew), 111 nucleotides long. Lineage: Eukaryota; Metazoa; Chordata; Mammalia; Eulipotyphla; Soricidae. The record is from RefSeq and is a predicted model, not a curated record.